GCUCUUCGAAUAUUCCAGCGAUCCCUGCAGAGAAAGAAGAAGAACAACUCGAGCAUGGCACAAACGCUAGCGAUGCCUAUAGCUCCCUCUCUCGCCCUAAUCUCAAACCCUAGACCUCUUUCCAGAGCCGUCUAUUUCCCUGUUCUCAACCCUCCCAAGGUGAGAGAGUUAAGCAUAGAGUG
Molecule: long non-coding RNA, 182 nt
Organism: Arachis stenosperma
Lineage: Eukaryota; Viridiplantae; Streptophyta; Magnoliopsida; Fabales; Fabaceae
Exons: 3
Source: RefSeq, a predicted model, not a curated record